Molecule: ribosomal RNA, 393 nt
Filed under: uncultured bacterium
Lineage: Bacteria
Description: bacterial SSU rRNA
Rfam family: Bacterial small subunit ribosomal RNA
Source: RNAcentral
GUGUCAGCAGCCGCGGUAAUACGUAGGGUGCGAGCGUUAAUCGGAAUUACUGGGCGUAAAGCGUGCGCAGGCGGUUCGUUAAGUUCGUUGUGAAAGCCCCGGGCUCAACCUGGGAACUGCAAUGGAAACUGGCGGGCUUGAAUGCGGCAGAGGGGGGUGGAAUUCCGCGUGUAGCAGUGAAAUGCGUAGAGAUGCGGAGGAACACCGAUGGCGAAGGCAGCCCCCUGGGCCGACAUUGACGCUCAGGCACGAAAGCGUGGGGAGCAAACAGGAUUAGAUACCCUGGUAGUCCACGCCCUAAACGAUGCUCACUAGGUGUUGGGGAAGCGAUUCCUUGGUACCGUAGCUAACGCGUGAAGUGAGCCGCCUGGGGAGUACGGCCGCAAGGUUAAA